GUCUUUAACGAAAAAUAGGUCAAACGACCAAACGCGCAGCAGUAAGCACAUUCCAAUUCCGCUUCACCAUAUGCGUUCUUUUGCUCGAAGAAUCAUGAGGAAAUCGUCCGUCUUGGCUUCGAUCCAUCAUCGUGUUUUGGCGGCAGGCUCCAUCACUCUUUCUUCGCAGCAACGCGCGUCGUUACGGUGUACGCUGGCGUCACGUUUUCACGACUCCACCGUCGCGUAUCUUCGCAUCGCAUUCGAUGUCACAUCCGCGGAUCACCCCCGUCCAUCAAUGGCAUUUGAUUCGCGUUCAAUCUUUCCUCUUGUCCUUCGCAUUCGUUUUUCGCUUAUCAUUCAUCAUCCAUCACGGUUCGAAUAUUCGUGAGCUCGACUCAAUCUGCUACGUGCGCAAAUAGAAAGAGGAAACAGAACGCGACAAUGGGAAUUGAAGCAAGAACGAAUGACUCACCGGUAAAAAAGCUGUGCUGCGAAUUGAGGGGUCGAAAUCGUUGUAGAUCGAUGAAGGAGAAGCUGCAGAGUGAUGGAGAAGAGAAAUUAUUGCGGGAUGAUGAAGAAGAAGAAUGAAGGUUCAGUUGAAGAAUCUUGGCUGCGGCGGAUUUUCGAUUGUAGAAUUCUGAUGCAGAAUUGAAGAACGAAGGCUCAUGGAUGACGAAGGUGGGAUUAAGAGAGAUGAAGAAGAAGAUUGAAGGAGAAUAUGAAAAAACUAUGAACAGAAUGAUGGAAACAGGAGGUGCUUCUAAGUCGCGAUCGGCUGCCGUCCUUGUUGCUGGAUCAGUGCCCUAUUUCUGAGUUGGCAACAUUCAAUGUUUUCAUCAUUGCCCCAAAAUUUCUGGAGGGAAACUAUUUGUUUAGAAGUAGUUACAAUAAUGAAAAGGUGGCUAUUGGGUAAAUGAAUGUCAAUUAGCCAAUUAAUUGGUAACAAGAAAAAAGUCAGUAAGAACUGUCAUGGACUGUGUGGAAGUGGUGUGUAUGUAGUCAUGUCCUACUCCGGUCUGAUAGUGCAUUUAAGUUUUUUGAUUUUAUGUGAGAGAGUCAACGCAAUUACUAGUAUACCCUCCAUUAAAUUGUCUUCUAGUAACAAUAAAAUAAUUAAUGCAAGGGUAUUUUUGAAAUAAAGGCAUUAAAUGCACCUAGAUUUGUUGA
Lathyrus oleraceus (garden pea) is the source of this 1149-nucleotide long non-coding RNA. RefSeq lists it as uncharacterized. The record is from RefSeq and is a predicted model, not a curated record. NCBI's taxonomy places the organism in Eukaryota, Viridiplantae, Streptophyta, Magnoliopsida, Fabales, Fabaceae. The transcript is spliced from 4 exons.